UUCAAUAUCCCGAAGAAUGCGUACAUCUUCAUUUGUAACAAAAUUAAUAGCUACACCUUUACGACCAAAUCGUCCACUGCGACCAAUGCGAUGUAUAUAGUUUUCUCGAUUUGCAGGAAGAUCGUAAUUGAUCACUAAUGAAACUUGCUGAACAUCAAUUCCUCUUGCCCAUAUGUCUGUGCAUAUGAGAACCCUACUAUUUCCUUGUCGAAAAUCUUGCAUGAUAGCGUCUCUUUCUUUUUGCGGCAUCUCACCGUGCAUACUGGUAACGGUAAAGUUAGCUUCUCGCAUUUUCUCCGUCAACCAAUCAACCUUCCUACGAGAAUUGCAAAAUAUCACAGCUUGUGUAAUGGUUAAAGUAUCAUAUAAAUCACACAGAGUAUCAAACUUCCAUUCCUCUUUUUCAACUGCUAUAAAGUACUGUUUUAAGCCUUCAAGAGUAAGUUCAUCGCGCUUGACCAAUAUUCGAACAGGGUUAGUGGUAAACUUGUUAGUCAUUUCUAACACGUCUUGAGGCAAGGUAGCACUCACAACUACCACCUGUGUACCAGGGGGUAAAUAUCUAUAAAUGUCAUAAAUUUGUUCCUUAAAGCCUUGAUUUAAGAGCUCAUCCGCUUCAUCAAGAAUAAGCAUCUUAACAUUGCGAGUUCGCAAAUUUCGUCUACGAAUCAUGUCCGUUACGCGCCCAGGAGUGCCAGAAACAACGUGUUGUCCAUAAUCCAAUUUUUUGAUGUCAUUUCCAACGGAUGUGCCGCCUAUACAAGCAUGACAUUGAACGUUCAUAUGGUCACCCAAUGCAAGUACAACAUUCUGGAUUUGAACUGCCAAUUCUCUCGUAGGAGAAAGUAUUAAAGCUUGAGUAUCUCGGACUGAUAAAUCGAUCGACUGAAGAAUACCAAUAGAAAAAGUUGCUGUUUUCCCUGUACCAGAUUGAGCUUGUGCGAUAACGUCUCUCCCUUUACAGAUUUGAAUAAUCGCCCGGCUUUGCACAGCACUCGGAGUCUCAUAGCCAUACGCAUAGAUUCCACGAAGUAAAUCCUCUGCAUGUUGUUAGAACAAAAUUAUGGAAAUUUUUAUCAAUUCAUUAACUAACCUUUAAGAUUCAUUUCCUCAACUGCAAAACAAUGUUAGCAUCAUUCACAGUAAGUAUUCAUAUUAUAAAAAAAUAUAAUUUACUUACAAGAGGAUACAGCAUUCACAUCUUCCGAUGUCGUAAGCUCCACGUUCUCCAUUAUUUCGUCCGCCAUAAUGGAAGUUGUAGUAGUUAUGUUAUGUCAGCCCAACUUGAGGAAAAUGAAGGAGAGAAAAUUUGACAAGCAAAUAGAAAGCUUGGUUAGUUACAAAAAUAAAAGAAUAUUCCUUUAAAAAAUUUCAAUUGUAC
This is a non-coding RNA of Schizosaccharomyces pombe (fission yeast), 1381 nucleotides long. The record is from the annotation of a GenBank genome assembly. NCBI's taxonomy places the organism in Eukaryota, Fungi, Ascomycota, Schizosaccharomycetes, Schizosaccharomycetales, Schizosaccharomycetaceae.